AAUGAACGCUGGCGGCGUGCCUAACACAUGCAAGUCGAACGCGAAAGCCCUGCUUGCAGGGUGAGUAGAGUGGCGAACGGGUGAGUAACGCGUGGGUAACCUACCCCCCAGUUGGGGAUAAUCCCGCGAAAGUGGGUCUAAUACCGGAUGACAUCGCCUCUCCUCGGAGGGGUGAUCAAAGAUGGCCUCUGGUACAAGCUAUCGCUGGGGGAGGGGCUCGCGUCCUAUUAGCUUGUUGGUGGGGUAACGGCCCACCAAGGCGACGAUGGGUAGCCGGCCUGAGAGGGUGUCCGGCCACACUGGAACUGAGACACGGUCCAGACUCCUACGGGAGGCAGCAGUGGGGAAUUUUUCGCAAUGGGCGAAAGCCUGACGAAGCGACGCCGCGUGGACGAUGAAGGCCUUCGGGUCGUAAAGUCCUGUCGGGUGGGAAGAAAAGUAUGAGCUCGAAUAAAGCUCAUGCUUGACGGUACCACCCAAGGAAGCCCCGGCCAACUCCGUGCCAGCAGCCGCGGUAAUACGGGGGGGGCAAGCGUUAUUCGGAAUCACUGGGCGUAAAGGGCGUCUAGGCGGUCGGGUAAGUCGUGGGUGAAAGCCCCCGGCUCAACCGGGGAAGUGCCUGCGAAACUAUCCGACUUGAGGUCGGGAGAGGAAAGUGGAAUUCCCAGUGUAGCGGUGAAAUGCGCAGAUAUUGGGAGGAACACCAGUGGCGAAGGCGGCUUUCUGGACCGACCCUGACGCUGAAGCGCGAAAGCUAGGGGAGCGAACGGGAUUAGAUACCCCGGUAGUCCUAGCCGUAAACGAUGGGCACUUGGUGUAGCAGGAUUUAAAACCUGCUGUGCCGAAGCUAACGCAUUAAGUGCCCCGCCUGGGGAGUACGGCCGCAAGGCUGAAACUCAAAGGAAUUGACGGGGGCCCGCACAAGCGGUGGAGCAUGUGGUUUAAUUCGAUGCAACGCGAAGAACCUUACCGGGGCUUGAAGUGUGGUUGACAGGAUGAGAAAUUAUCCCUUCUCUU
Molecule: ribosomal RNA, 1017 nt
Filed under: uncultured bacterium
Lineage: Bacteria
Description: bacterial SSU rRNA
Rfam family: Bacterial small subunit ribosomal RNA
Source: RNAcentral